GACGAACGCUGGCGGCGUGCUUAACACAUGCAAGUCGAACGAUGAAGAAGAGAAACGCGAACUUCGGUUCAAAUUUCACUUCGGAUUAGUGGCAGACGGGUGAGUAACGCGUGAGCAACCUACCUCUUACAAAGGGAUAGCCUCGGGAAACCGUGAUUAAUACCAUAUGACACAUUCAUAAGGCAUCUUAAGAAUGUUAAAGCUACGGCGGUAAGAGAUGGGCUCGCGUCCCAUUAGCUAGUUGGUGAGGUAACGGCCCACCAAGGCGACGAUGGGUAACCGGCCUGAGAGGGUGAGCGGUCACAUUGGAACUGAGACACGGUCCAAACUCCUACGGGAGGCAGCAGUGGGGAAUAUUGCACAAUGGAGGGAACUCUGAUGCAGCGACGCCGCGUGAGCGAUGAAGGAAUUCGUUUCGUAAAGCUCUGUUCUAUGGGAAGAAAAUGACUGUACCAUAGGAGAAAGCCCCGGCUAAAUACGUG
RNAcentral lists this ribosomal RNA (482 nucleotides) under uncultured bacterium. RNAcentral's name for it is "partial 16S ribosomal RNA". It matches the Rfam family "Bacterial small subunit ribosomal RNA", at positions 28 to 507 of the family's 1533-position model. The record is from RNAcentral.